GAGCUUGCUUACAGGCACAUCAUAUCCUAACACCUGUGCACUUGUCGGAGGGCUUAGUGAAGACCGCAAGGUUGAAUCUAUCCAUCUACUUUACAUAACAAUUCUGUAACAAAUGUAGUCUUAUUAUAACAUAAUAAAACUUUCAACAACGGAUCUCUUGGCUCUCGCAUCGAUGAAGAACGCAGCGAAAUGCGAUAAGUAAUGUGAAUUGCAGAAUUCAGUGAAUCAUCGAAUCUUUGAACGCACCUUGCGCUCCUUGGUAUUCCGAGGAGCAUGCCUGUUUGAGUGUCAUGAAAACCCUCAACCCUAGAUUGGUUAAAACCUUUCUUUGGUUUGGAUUUGGACGUUUGCCGAUGAUAAGUCGGCUCGUCUUAAAAGUAAUAGCUGGAUCUGUCUCGCGACAUGGUUUGACUUGGCGUAAUAAGUAUUUCGCUAAGGACAUCUUCGGAUGGCCGCGUUGCAGGACUAAAGACCGCUUUCUAAUCCAUUGAUCUUCGGAUUAAUACUCUUGACAUCUGGCCUCAAAUCAGGUAGGACUACCCGCUGAACUUAAGCAUAUCAUA
Molecule: ribosomal RNA, 563 nt
Filed under: Naganishia albida
Lineage: Eukaryota; Fungi; Basidiomycota; Tremellomycetes; Filobasidiales; Filobasidiaceae
Description: eukaryotic LSU rRNA
Rfam family: 5.8S ribosomal RNA (bases 138-291)
Source: RNAcentral